Molecule: ribosomal RNA, 164 nt
Filed under: uncultured bacterium
Lineage: Bacteria
Description: partial 16S ribosomal RNA
Rfam family: Bacterial small subunit ribosomal RNA
Source: RNAcentral
UAGGGAAUCCUCCACAAUGGACGAAAGUCUGAUGGAGCAACGCCGCGUGAGUGAAGAAGGGUUUCGGCUCGUAAAACUCUGUUGUUAAAGAAGAACAUAUCUGAGAGUAACUGUUCAGGUAUUGACGGUAUUUAACCAGAAAGCCACGGCUAACUACGUGCCAG